This 2497-nucleotide unclassified non-coding RNA is filed under the name Leishmania donovani. RNAcentral's name for it is "gene:LdHU3.18.1640(CDS-product:Acetyltransferase_ (GNAT)_family_putative)". Lineage: Eukaryota; Euglenozoa; Kinetoplastea; Trypanosomatida; Trypanosomatidae. The record is from RNAcentral.
GAUAUUGGCACUCAUUGCUGCUUCCUCCCCCUCCCUCUGCCACCGAUCUCACGAAGGAACUCGUGCUGAUGAUGCUGGCGUAGUGAGGACAUCAAGAAGAGCGAGAGAUAAUACACCAUUAAGAAUAACCCGUAGCCCCCCUCCCCCGGUUCAUUUACACUGCAACAAUGACCUUCUCGCCAACAGCGACGCCGCACGCCGCGUCGACAGGCGCUUCUAGCGAGAGUGUAGAGGUAUAUCGACGCUACCCUGCACCGGAGACGGUGCAGCUGCCCGUUAAAGCUACUGCCAUCACUACCACCGCCACCAGUACUGCAGGCGUAUCGUCGUCGCCGUUGUCCUCGACGGGUGCAUGCAGCGGCACUGAAGCUACGACGACCGCGCCUGAAUCGACCACUUGCGCCUCGCUCCGGCUGCGCUGGGGUGUGCAGGCGACGGAGCUCCGCAGACUGUAUGAGAUGCACAAGGACGCGUACCCUAUCAACUACACCGCCUCCUACUACGAGUGGCUGCUGGACCACGAUGCCUGUAUGGGCCUGAUGGCACUGGUGACCCAGGAGACGUACCGGGAGUGGAUACAGCGCUGGAGGGAGACGAAGGGCAAUACGCCGAAGAUGGUGGCCACGCAGACGGCAAGUGCUGCGUCGUCAUCGUCUUCGCCUUCGUCCGCUUCCACAGCACCGCCGGUUCCGCCACCGGUCUCUGAGUGCAGCAUGACUGCUGAGGCUCUGCAGGAAUGCGCGCAAGUAGAGAGCAUCAUCGCGGAGCAGGAGCGCAUUGCUGCUGGCAAGGCGGCCGAUAGUACUCACAAGGGCACAAAAUCGUUGCGCAACAGCGACGGCAGCGACUCGGCCGCACACACUGUGGUGGUGGGUUUUAUCAUUGGCCAGAUCGCCUACGCACGCCACGACGCGGGCCACCUUCUCUCGAACCCCACUGCCUACAUCGGCUCUUUCGCUGUCGACCCACCCUUUCAGACCUGCGGCGUGGGGCACGCGCUGCUGCAGCGCUUCGUCACGUACGUGACACAGCAGCGCCCCGUGUACGCGCAGGACUACUUGCACUAUGACAAGCGGAAGCUGAUUGCGCUGCUGGCGGACGCACAGGUCAAGAAGCGCAAAGCAGGGGUGAGGACACUACUCGGCGGAACCUCUGCGUCCGCCGCGGGUGGCACAUGCGAGGACGGCGGAGAUGGCACUCGACACAAGAGCUAUGCUCCAUCAGACGGCCCUCUGCCGCCGCCGAUUUCCUCUGCUGCGCCGUCCCAGUCAUCGAGCCGCGCUCAAGCCCACUCCUCCAUCUUCCAGAAUCUCCUCACGUACCUGCCAGAGCUGCAGAGCUGGAUCGAAGAUCGGCAGGCACGCCUCCGACUGCGGAAUUGUGGCCUGACCGAAGAAGAGAUUGACGAGCGGCGCUUCCGUGAUCGGCUGGCGCCAGAUGUCCUCACAGACGAGGAGGCGGACGAGGUGCGCCGUGAGGCACGUCGCUUCGUCGUCCAGACCGGUGUGCGGGACGUCUGGCUGCACUGUCUGCCUGGCAACCUCAAAGCCACCACCUUCUACGCCCACCGCGGCUUUGUGCUGCACCGCGUGCUGAAGGCGUACUACGACAUUGACGGCGCUCCAUACGAUGCCCUCCUCCUGCAUUACGUCUGCGGAAAUGAUGGGUCCGCUGCCUCGCCAGGCGCGUCAGCAGAGCUCUCCUCUACAGUGGCGACCGACGCACCGAGUGGGAUGAACCGUGUGGUAAACCGGCUGGAAAACCGUGCAGCGCCGGAGGAGGAUGCGACCAACCCGGAUGGCGCUGCUCCUUUGACCGCUGCAGCGCCUGCGUCUUUGCCCCCGCCACUGUCCUCAUUGACGGGUCUCCGCCGCCGCCGUGUAGCAUCACCGGUAAGGGAGGACAUCGGCUCAACAACAGCCGCUGCUGCUUUGACUGAGGCAGACAGGGCCGCCAUAUCAGCCCCCACCCCCGCCACUCCCGCUACUGCGGCAGACGCAUCGGCGGAGAAGGCCACGCCGGCGAAACAGAUCUCUCUGCAGACGGCCUCGUGGCUGUCUCCUCGCACGUACCCCAUGGUGGCCGAUAUAAUCCUGUGCACGGCGGAAAAGGGUCAGGAGGAGUGGCGACGACGCACAGAUCCAAAAGACUCUGGCGACGAGGCACAGCAGCGGCUAGGGUGUUGGGAGAUGGCGCGCGAGGUUGUCUUCGUCGCCAACGCCUUUGGGCUGCUAUGUGCCGUGCUGUGGCUCGCCUACAACGUUGUGGUGGAGGGAAAGGUGUUGUAGAGCGAGUAAAAGAGGACGGCGAUGCUGAAAGCGCGCGACUGUGCCUGCAGGGCGUGGGCGUGCUCACUAGCUUGCGCGCCGCCGCCGGCGGCUCUCGGAGGAUGGGAGAAUGAGGCGCUGGACGUUGCUCCCCGCACUCGGUCGAGCUGCUGGUGUAUGCAUACAUUCAACCAGCCUAGAGGUAACAAAAAACAGCCACGAGGACCGCC